Molecule: non-coding RNA, 107 nt
Organism: Violaceomyces palustris
Lineage: Eukaryota; Fungi; Basidiomycota; Ustilaginomycetes; Violaceomycetales; Violaceomycetaceae
Source: the annotation of a GenBank genome assembly
GGUACUAUGGCCGAGCGGUCUAAGGCGUAAGAUUCAAGCACAUUCUCUGCUUACACAGCUAAGUGUUUCCCCCUUAUUCAUCCUGGGUUCAAAUCCCAGUGGUACCA